This 2367-nucleotide unclassified non-coding RNA is filed under the name Leishmania donovani. Its description in RNAcentral is "gene:LdHU3.04.0130(CDS-product:hypothetical_prote in_conserved)". The record is from RNAcentral. Lineage: Eukaryota; Euglenozoa; Kinetoplastea; Trypanosomatida; Trypanosomatidae.
GGACGACUCAACGGCAUCGCGUCUUGCUUCCCACCGCGAAUAAGUCGACGCGCACCACACGCACCCACCCACUCCCUAUCCUCCUCGGUCGCUGUGUCCGGUGUUGUCCGGUUCUGUAUCCGUGCCUGGUGCCUCUUCACCCCUCGACUUCGCCGAAGCGCACCCCCUGAUACAGGGAGGCAGACCAUGGACCGAAAUUGCCCUUCGCGCACCUCACGUCGCUGCGCAUGUGCGCCGUGGCGACGGAGAGUGCUGCUUGUGUGUGCAUGGGCAGUAACUGCGGUCUUGCUAAGCAACUGCGCGCUUGCCUGGCCACAGUUUCUUUACUUGAGGCGCCGCGAAGAGCUGCCUGCGGCAGUGCAGGCGGAUGCGGAUGACGCGCGCGCGCACGCACCCCCUCGGCUGUUCCCCGGUGCGAUGGAGCGUGGAGAGCAAGCCCGCAUGCUCUGGGAGGAGGCCGAGGCAAAAGGGCGGCUGAGCCCGUGCUGGAAGCGGUCCCUGCAGCUGCUGCAUGCCAAGUGCGCCGAGGUGCGGAACGAGGACACCAUGCGCAGCCGGCUGGCACUCUUUAUGGCCACGUGUGACGCGAAUAGCGACGGACGCGCCCACCCGAGCUUUCAUUGUGGCUCUGCUGCUACGCAGCCGUCAGAACUGUCGGCUCAUGCCGUGCGCCAGUGCGUGCAAGGGUUGUCCGACAGCGCCUACGCAGCCUUCUUGCAGUACCGCCUUCACGCAGACGUGUUGUGCGCCUAUUUGGAGGAGGAGUUGUACCAGCAGCGCACUGAAGCCGCGGUCGCCGCAAUGCACCUGCAGAUGCAGCGCAGCUCACACAUGCUGACUGCGCUGCAGCACUCUGGCGCGGAGGUGGUGGCCCUCAUGAAGGACUCGCAGACGCUCCAGCAAGAGUCGCGCGAGGCUGCGUCGUCCUUGCUCCAUCAACUCGGCCUUCUCCACAACGGCCAGGCAGCGGCGCUGCAGUCUCUGCAGCAGGCUGUCAGUGCCAUUUUGCGCACCAGCAGUCACACCGACGCGGCGCUCGGCGAGCUGCACACGCGCGUGCAGGGGGCCGCUGCCGAAGCGCUCGCCUCUGUUCAAGCCCUCAGCCAGGAGACUUUCAAGAGGUUUGCCGAGGUGGAGGCGCAAACGCGCGGUGUGGUGCGGCUCAUGCAGCAAAUGGACGCGCUGCAUCAACUGCUGGCCCGUCAACGGCUUCCGCGGCAUCGCAUGGCUUGGGUGCUUGGAUGCCUUUGUGGUGUGCUGGCUCUCACAUGCCUCCCGCAGACGGCAGCUGCACGGCUGCCGGCGACCUUGCUCACCGUCGUCGGGUGUGCUGGGGUACCGCUGCUGCGGUGGUGGACCGGACGGGCGCAGUGGCUCUUCCUGCACGAAACGGCGUGGGAGUCCCUAUGCUUGUCGCUGGCCGUGGGGCUUGUUGGCUACUGCGCCCACCGCCACACACCGUCCGACACGUGUCGGCGCCGAAGACUGGCGCGGGAGGAGGCAAUACGUCUGUGUGGUGAGCUACAGCUGCAGCAGCAGCUUGGUGGUGCAAUGCUGCAACCGUAUGCGCCUCAAAUCCCCAUCCUGGGUCUUCAGCCCCACCCAUGCAUGGUGCGGAGCGAUGCGCCUGAGGCAUCCCUGAGCGUCGCCCACGCAUGGCCUCCGCUGUCCAUCGUGGUGUCUCCACGCGACGACGAGGUGGAAGCGACCUCGACCACAGCCGACGGCUCCCACUGCACCGCAUCCAACGAGGGCUCUUUGAGUUUACCGGACGAGGUGUCCAGCGCUGCUAGCACACCAAACCGCAAGCGCGGUCGCCCGUUCACUGCAGGCGACGACGCCGCUCGCCAUCACGCCACGGCCCGCACCAGGCGCUCGACGGCACGCAGCACCUGCCGAACGACACGCAGGAAAGGAUAAGCACCCUUUUCCCCGCCUCGGAUGCGCGUAUGCCUGUGUGCGUGGCGAGUGGGGUCUCUUCGCCGGUCCUCCACCUCCGUCUAUCUUGUGUGUAUGUGUGUCUGGGCUCCUCUCCCUCCCUCCCUCCCUCCCCUUCUCCGCAGCUCGCUGCUCUUCUUCUUUUUGUUUUCCGCUUCUCAUGGGGCGGAGGGUUAGGCAGGGAGGGGAAAGGGGGAGGGGGGUACUUAGUCCGUGCGAUACCCCGCAGUGUAGGCCCUGUGACGCUGCACCCUUUUGCUUCCCCCCCUCCUCCCCUCCCAUGCUGACCGGAUAGUGGGCACGCACACGCACGCGGUCCCUCCGCUCCCCUGUUCUCUAUUCGUUAUCCCUCCCCUCCCCCCCCCUCUCCUCUGUUCGCUGGUUUAUUCCCCGUUUCCACUCGCGUUUGUACGGACUCUCGUCCAUCUG